GAAUCAUGGGUUAGUCAUAGUAGGCGCAUGAAUAUUUAAGUGGAUAAAUGUUUUUAAGUGGAAUCAUGAGUUUUGGAAACUACCUCUAAACCAAAAUUUAAAAAGACCAUAAUCUUUUUCUAACUAAUAUAUCAUUAUGCUCUUCUACACUUCUCUUCUUCUUGAAACUCUGUGAUUUCAUCGCAAAUUCAACUCAGGUUGGAUGUCUUUGCAGUAUUCACCAUUUGUUGAAGGACCGCAACAAUCCCAAUCUUUGGAGAAUUUUAAGAAUCCAAGUAAGAGAUGUUUAAUUUAUAUUUGAUCUUUAUUUCUAUAUUGUGCCUUAUGAAAUUAAAAGAAGACAAAAAAUACCAUAAAAUAUCUGGGUUAUUGACAUAUAAAGAAUUCCUUCCUUUUCUUUUUCUUUUUUUUUGACGGGAGAUUUCUUGUUUUUUUCUAGCCUAUAGCAUUUUUAACAUUUCAUUAAUUGAUCAUUUUUUUUCUUCUUACUUUUACUUUUUUUUCUUCUUACUUUCAUUUAUUACAUAUUAAAAUUGUAAAGUUAAUCGACUUGAUGCAGGGAAAUCACAUGGACGCAACUUCAAUUACUUUAUCACAAGAGAUGCUCGAGGAAAAUUUAAGAGAAAAGAUUAAUAUUUAUUCUUUUUUUUCUUGUAAAUUAUGUUUGUAUCGUUCUAUUCAUCGAAACAACAACUUGUAUGGAUAUCCAGAAAUUACAAGAGAUAUCCAGAAACAACAACUUGUAUAUGUGAUUCAUUAUGCAAAUAAAGAGUUA
RNAcentral lists this long non-coding RNA (775 nucleotides) under Trifolium pratense (red clover). RNAcentral describes it as "long non-coding RNA (TPRA_LNC001552)". The record is from RNAcentral. Lineage: Eukaryota; Viridiplantae; Streptophyta; Magnoliopsida; Fabales; Fabaceae.